AGAAUACAAGGGUUCUAGUCAAAAGGGCUCAAAAGUAUGAAAACUAUAGCUAGAGAGAGAAAAUUUUGCAAGCUACAUAUCAAGCUUCCAUGGAGGUUUUGAAGAAACGUGAGAGAGAAGAAGAAGAAGAAGACAAGCUACUGGAAGAUGGGAGAAAAAGCUGCUAGAAGAAAGUAUUUAUAGGCCAAACUUAUCCAUUCCCUUAAAAUUACGAAAAUGCCCUUGACUAGUUAGCUUGUUCUCAUGCAACCCUUUGUGCAAUCUUUUUACUCCUUUGAC
This 279-nucleotide long non-coding RNA is filed under the name Theobroma cacao (cacao). RNAcentral describes it as "long non-coding RNA (TCAC_LNC001775)". Lineage: Eukaryota; Viridiplantae; Streptophyta; Magnoliopsida; Malvales; Malvaceae. The record is from RNAcentral.